Cebus imitator (Panamanian white-faced capuchin) is the source of this 3266-nucleotide long non-coding RNA. RefSeq lists it as uncharacterized. The record is from RefSeq and is a predicted model, not a curated record. Lineage: Eukaryota; Metazoa; Chordata; Mammalia; Primates; Cebidae. The transcript has 3 exons.
AUGCCAUUAGGCACUGUCUGCCCUGGUCCUCCUACAAUCCAGCCAGUGCAGUUCCCGUCACAGCAAGUGCUUCCUCUCUCGGAGCAGACAAGCUAACUGAAGCCACAGCCGGAAGCAGGCUGACCACAAGUGCUAAGCUUCUGGUUAGUUCUUUUCUAGGUUCAAAAGAAGAGGCUGUUCUAAGAAAGACUACCGAGUAAUCAAUCACCUCCUCAGAGAAGGUCUGCUCAGAGAUCACCUCACCAGCUACCUCACUGGGUUACUUUAAGGAUCAGAUGGCUGUGAAAACAUCCUAUGAACUGGAAAGCAUUAUGCAAAAAUAUUAUAAAUCAGUAUGCCAUCUGCCUAGAACUGAGACAGAGUCAGUGCUGCAAUCCAGGUAUUGACUCUAGUUUCAGUGCUCAACUCCUGUGUAAAGUUCUUUUCUUUGGGAUAAAAGUUUAGGGAUACCGAUUUCUCUUUUUACCAACUAAGCCACAUGAAGGGUAUCCAGACUGUACAAAUCAAGGUGUCAGUCUGGUUCUGCUUUUGAGUUCUGAAUGACAUUACCAAAACAGGCCACAUUAUAUAAUCUUUGGCUGGACUGGAAUGACCAGUCACCCUUCCCAGACUCCAUAGUUGUUCUUGGAUGAUACAGCACAACAAAGAUGGGCUCAUCCCAGCAGAGAGAACACACCCAUUUCUGAUGAAAUCCCGAGGAAGAGCCAGCCGCAGAAUCAUCCUUUCAAGUCAUUCUGGGGCCACAGGUGAAGCAUUCCCUGGGCACCCACGGGGACUGUGAUACACAGGGUGCACACUUGCAGGGUACAGCUGGGUCCCGGGCACCUAGGCUACCAGGCUGAGGAAACCAGAGGUCACAGGAGGAGAGAAAGGUGGGACUGGCCGCCUAUGCUGGACAAGGGCAGGGCAAGCCCGUUUGAGAAUCUGAAUAAAGAACAAUCAGGCUCACUCACCCUUCUCCCCACAUCAGUGUCCAAGCUGGGACAUCUCACUUAGGCAACUUCCCGGGCACUUUGAAUUAGCUAAGAAAUAUGCCAGAACAUUCCCAGUGGCUACGGAUAAGGAUUUUAGCUAUUUUUUCAUGGUUUUCUUCUAUUCUUUUCUGGAUUCCAUUAGUAUUCAACUUUGAUCUCUUACUACUUUUAUAUAGCAAUAUAUUAUGUUUGUUUUAAACUUACUGAAACAUCUUUCCAAAGUUCUGUGCUGUUGUUUCAGGGAAAGAUACAUUUACCUUUGAAAACACACACACCCUCACCAAUAAGCUGCUUCAACACAACCACGUUCCAUCCCAGCUUUAUCAUCUGAUGGGCUUUUAUACUGGAAAGCUCUGAAAUGAAACAGUUUUACUUAAGGUCAGCCCUGCCUAGACACACUGAGAAAGAAGUGAUGGAAGAUGUUAUCCUUCUCACCAUCCACAGGAAUUCAUAAAGAGGUGAGAAAGCUACCAGCACUGUUACUGACUUGAGACUGGUUUGGAAGAACGGUGCCACACAGCAAGAUCUCCUUAGGGAGAAAGAGAUCAUCUGUCAUGUAGAUGUGCUCCAAAUUCAUCUUCUCCAAACCCUCCCUUUUUCUAACCAGCCCCUUGUACUCUGACCCGUUAUUUACUAGCGUGUUCACACAGCUAGCGUGUCCCCUUCUCCCUCCUGUCAGCCACAUUCUUGCUCCUGACAUAGACCCUAAGGCUCACACCCUCCUGUUUCAUAUUUCACGAACUCCUGUCCCCACUCUGAAUGUUGCUUAUUGGAAUCUCAAAGCUACAAUGGGCACAAGAGACCCUUUGAUUCCACUUCCUCAUUUUAUAGGCGGUAAAACUGAGGCCCUGAAGAGAGAAGAUGUGUCAAAGGUGAAAACUCAGUCAAGUUCACCUGUAUAGCUUUCACACACAAAUGACUCUCCCUAAAACUGACAUCUCUUCCCCAUUCUCACAUUCCCUAGAGACAUGACAGUAGGCUUCAUAGUAAAGACUUAGAUUUUAAAGAACUCUGAAUACAUAUACUUGAUGUAGACAGUCACAUUUAGAACAUUUUCCAGGUAAGAGCAGUUUUAUAACUGCAUUUUUAUGGUUACAGACUUCUCCGUAUCCUGUUAUACUACAGUCCAGCUCUACCAGACACAGUCAAUACUUGGAAUACACAGGACAUAAAGGAGUUGAGGCAGGAGAGUUACAAAUGUAGUGAGGAAGUCUGGAAGUAAAGGGCAAGUCGGGCAACCCAGUGGAGUCUGCGGUCGGGGAAGGAGCAGGAGGGUGGGUCAAGGUAUGGACGGGGGGAGAAAAUGCACUUUGGAGCUUAUCAGAUCUGCCAAGUUGGGGAAAAUGUGCAUGUAUGCAGCUAUUUCAUAUGUGUAAUAAAGCAUGGACAAACAUACAUCCAUACAUCCCUGGACGAACUAGCCAACGGGGAGAACUGUUUUCAUGCACAGUGAGGCCGUCUUCAGUGGCUGAUGGAAUGAUGUCUGUGCAUAACCCUCAUGUCCUGCACAGACUCACAGAAUAGACUCUUGGGUAUACCUGGCUCACGCCCUAUGCUCUCCCUUAGCACACAAGCUCCUUCAGGGCGGAUCAGGGCUCUGCUCAACUCACUGCUACAAACAACACCUGGCACACCCUCCAUGAAGGUCAGGAUGUAGGAAAUUCAGAGGGGAGUGCUAAGAGGUCACUGCAGAACCGAGGCCCCAAUGCCAAGUGCUUCACAAUAAAAGAAAAGUGCCUGUGAAGUGCUCCAUGGGACAAGGGGUGAUUUCAUCCCCUCUAGACUAAAGGGCAGAAUGUGUUCUGAGGCUGGGUGGGGAAACAUAAGCUCAGCAACUGCUUUGUGCAGCUGCCACUGACAUGAACCCAAGCUCAAGUGCACAGGGUGGGGUGAGAGGCUGGCUGGCUGGGCGGCGAGUCCAAUGACGCUGACACACUGUUUCCAGCCACCGGGAAGCCGGUGCCAAAUCCCUCUUCACUCCUCCCUGCUCCGAUAUUCUUGCCGCUGCCGUGGUGCCAGCUAACUUCAGGAGGCAUUCUGGGAAUUGUGUUUAGCAGGCAAAACAGGCUGUCUCCUUACCCACGGCGCAGGGCUUUCAGAGCCCAGGUGACAUUUUAACCAAUGCUCGUGGCCUCCCAGGUUGGGCCACAAGGAAAGCUGCUGCUCAGCACUACUGACGCUGAAAUAUCAAUCUUCUAGGAACAUACCCAGGCACGCCCUUCCUCCUAACAUCCUCGCUGGAAUUCGGAAUAAAAGCCCAAACCCAUCACCAUGCAUUUGCACAAAGCAGAG